RNAcentral lists this long non-coding RNA (2702 nucleotides) under Equus asinus (donkey). Its description in RNAcentral is "lncRNA (ENSEASG00005037584.1)". The record is from RNAcentral. Lineage: Eukaryota; Metazoa; Chordata; Mammalia; Perissodactyla; Equidae.
AGGUCAGGGUGGGGAGUGUUUUAUAAAUAUGAGAAGUUUGGAGGAUAUUUAAAUACUGAAGGAAGUGACAGAUUGAGUGGAAGGGGUCGAAAGAAGGCCAGAUGGAGGCUAUUGAGAAGGCUGGAGAGGCUGAGAUUCAGAGCACACUAGAGCAAUCGCUCUGAUGGCAGGAGGAGGGCGCUUCUGCUGCUACAGGAAGGAAGGAGGAGAGAAUGGGUGUGGAUGCUGGUACGUUUGUGGGUUUAGGGGCAAGAAUUUGAGAGCGUUCCUGUCUAGUGACUCUCAUUUUCUCUGCGAGGGAAAAAGAGAAUAGCGGGGAUCUUUUUCGACACACCCAUUGUGAAAGCUCAAAAUCCGUAUUGAAGAGGAAGUUUUAAAAAGCUUUUGUGAAGUUGAGAGAGAGAAAAAGUUCUUAAAAUGUAUUUUAAAAAACAAAUUCAGACAAAUGUAAUUCAUGGUCAAGACAGAGUAUGAAAGUAAGAGACUCAUGAAAAUUCUGCUUAUAACAAUUGAUGGUGGGUGUACUAAAAAUAUUAAUUUAAACUAAAAUUGUAUGUCUUAUUCUAAUAAACAUUUUAUGAUCAAGUCUAAUGGUUAGACAAAUCGAAACAAUUCACCUUACACAUCCAGAUUUAAUGUUUUUUCUCUGAGCAGUUGACUGAAUACAUAAUCACUAAUUGCAGUAGGAUUAUAUUAAAAUCAGAUGGCUUAAACUUUCUAGAACUGGAUGAUUAACACAAUAACCUGAACUUAAUUAGGUAUUCAUAUUAAAUGCUGGCAAUAAGCAAGUGUUUCCUUUGAUAUCCACUUUAAGUGCAUACUGAAAUCACAGCAUGGCACCAUAAGAAUAUACACAGAGUCAAUGGAGUUUGAAGAAAUUAGACAGAAUAAAUGAGUCACACUUUUAUUCAUAUGGAGCCCAUCCUGGGGUAGAGAUGAGGGCAUAGGGAGGCAGCACAAAUCUGUUGCUUCCUUGUCUUAACAUCAUUAUGCAGAAUCCAGUGUUCUGAGCAGUAGUUAAUCCUCCUAACUGGAGCUGAGAUCUUUACUGUUGUGUCAUGUUUGACAGGAGGAAGCACUUGUCCUCUAGAAAGGACCUAUAAGGCAUUAGGAGGGCUUCUCAACAGCAGGAACCAAAGUUCCCUUUGUUAUAACUCAACCUACAAUUUUCUCUAUUUCCAACCCAGGUACAUAGACUGGAAAAUUCCCCAAGUAAUCGUUAUAAUACUCCUUCAGAUCCUAGCUCCUUGGGCAUCUUGUCCGCAAAAAUUCCCUCAUAUUAUUUGUGCUCCACAGCAAGGUUGGAAGAUUAACUUGAAAGCCACAGUUGUACAAGGACACAGAAUCUCCCCUGCCCCAUUCCAAAUAAAUUAUAAGGACUUCAGCUUUGGUGAAGCAGUCUUGGAAGCCAUACAUACAUGAGUCCUACUGCAGCAAAAGUGCCAGGAACUGCUGCCAUCAGUUCCAUGUCCCUUGGUCACACUGGAGCAAGUUAUACAGAGCAGGAGAGGAAACAAACGUUUAUUCCCUUCCUCUUGCAGCAACUCAUAGGUACCUUGAACACCAGAGUCCAAUAUUGGCUAUACCAGGCCAUGUGAUAUUUUGACCAUCCCCCUCAUCCUUUCUGGCUCUUUCAGGCUAGGACCAAAAGGCUGUACAGCUAAUGGUGUUGAAGGGCCCAGGAGUGACCACCAAGGAAGCCAUGCUCAUAUGCUUCCUUCCUCCCUCCUUCUCCCUGUCUUGUUAAAAUCUAGUGAAGUAUAUUCAUCUUCCUGAAAGGCUUUCCAAUCAGCCCUGCCUACUCCUGUUGUCUCAGUCUCCUGUCCUACAUGUAGGUAAUUACUCAGAAAGCCCAGGCUUGCCCUUGCUUGGUGCAUGUUAGGGAUGUUUUGUAUGUGUUGUGAUGAGGUAUUCCAGGGAAAGAUAACCACCUGGGCAGCUCUCUUUUCUCUUUACUUGUUUCCUAGGAUGCCUGUUCCUGGUUCGGCACAGUGCGGGCUCAGACAACGCUGUUCACAAUUGGACUGUUUAUUUGCAAUAAGGGAGAGACGUGGCCUCAUAAACCACAGAAACUGAGCAACACUGCCCCAAAAGUUCUCUGCCUCUGCCGUCGUCCCUCCCCACCCACGCACGCACCACCACCUCCCUGGAGAAGGGGGACCGGCUCCGUUUCCGUCCUGAGAGCCGAACGUCAGUGCCCAGCGUUUACACAGCAAGGAACAGCCCCUGUACUCGGGCAGGGGGCCGGCUCCUCUUACGACUGUGUCUUCCACUCAUUCAGCUCUGAGCCCUUCCACCCCUUCUCUUUAGCAGAGUGAACACCAACCAGUCACAUCGACCUAGAAGCACCUCAUUUACUUUAACAGCAAAUAAGAGAUCCUUUGAGAGGAAAGAACUCAGUCACCUUCCUUCACGGGUCUUUAAAACAUGAUCGUGGUAAUGAUAAAGAGAGCAACAACCUCCUCCCUCCGCCACUUACUAUUAAAUGAAUUAAUAUAUGUAAAGUGCUUCUUAAUGCUUGAUAUGUAUUAAAUGGGCAAUAUAUGUUAAAUAUUAGCUAUUAUUAUUAUCGUCAUUAUCAUGUAUUAAGCACAUACUAAGUAUCAGGGCACUAUGCUAAAUCCUUUCCAGACAUAAUCUCAUUUAAUCAUUGUAAAAACUCCGUGGGAUUGCAGAUAUUUCACACCCAGUUUACAGCUGAG